AGAAGGAAGAUGAGUUAGAGCAAUCCUUCUCGUUUCAGGGGUCUGUAUUUUAUUUAUGUUUUACUCGAGCCGGAAACCAGGGGGCGACGCCUGACUGUUCGCCGCUCCUACUCCUCACGUCACUACAAGGGGUCGAGGCCUGUUCAUUGGUCCUCUCCCACGCGCCUCACAGUCUCCCACUGCGCUCGCGCUGUGGGACAUUGUUGCGCUCUGGUCCGUAUAAUUGCCAGCAGUUGCUGCCUGUCACCGCUGAGCGCAACCUUGUCCCUUCCGAGCUCUCACCACCUGCGCCCAGAGAGGAGAGGGUUUGCGGCUUUGCGGUUAGAAGGGAUUCCAAUCGCUUAUAAACAUAUCCAAACUCGUUUUACGGCCCAGAGUACGGUCUGUCUUGCAGCUGAAUGAAUCAGUGAGAGGAUCUUGCAGCCCUCUCCCGCCUCUGAGCAGCUCACAUCGUCAUGGAGGUGGAGGCUAAUAAUAAAAGGGCGCCUCUGGCGCGAGGCUAGGAAACGGGGACCCUGCGGGACCUGAACACCCGGCGUCUGCACCCGGCUUCCCAUGCUCAACUUUCUCCAAAG
Miniopterus natalensis is the source of this 575-nucleotide non-coding RNA. Lineage: Eukaryota; Metazoa; Chordata; Mammalia; Chiroptera; Miniopteridae. The record is from RefSeq and is a predicted model, not a curated record.